GGGGAUGUGGUGGAACUGGUAGACACGUAGAUUUGAGGGGUCUAUGGGGCAACCCGUGAGAGUUCGAGUCUCUCCAUCCCCACCA
Molecule: transfer RNA, 85 nt
Filed under: Blastocatellia bacterium
Lineage: Bacteria; Pseudomonadati; Acidobacteriota; Blastocatellia
Description: tRNA-Leu
Rfam family: tRNA
About the family: Transfer RNA (tRNA) molecules are approximately 80 nucleotides in length. Their secondary structure includes four short double-helical elements and three loops (D, anti-codon, and T loops).
Source: RNAcentral